This 583-nucleotide long non-coding RNA is filed under the name Homo sapiens (human). RNAcentral's name for it is "HSALNT0366849". Lineage: Eukaryota; Metazoa; Chordata; Mammalia; Primates; Hominidae. The record is from RNAcentral.
AAUCUCAUGAACAUCUCAUACACAUAUCUUUACUGCUGGAUUUGUAACACAGGUUACACUAACUCAUCAAUUUCAUGUAUUUCACAUGGUCACAGUAAAGAGCUUGGAAAUGCACUAUAGGGUUCUACAAAAUGGAAUGAAAAUGUGUCACUCAGCCCAGUUUUCAUAGAUAAAACUGGGCUCCCUAUGCCUCUCCUUUUUUCCUUUCAUCUGCAUUAUUCCCGUUGCCAAAAUCUGGAGCCUGGUAAAGGCCCAGUAGCGGUGGCAACAAUAGAGCUGUGUGUCACCCCAGUGAGCUGAAAGAGCAGACAUCAAGCUCUAUGCCAGAGAACAGUGGGGCAUCCCCAAGGUCCUGCUGGAAGGCAGCUCUGAUCUGGAACUGGGAAGGACAACACACAGUCAAGCUCUUUCUCGUCUCAGAGAAUCCAGCAGAAUCUUCAGGGAUCCUUCCAGACCAGGAAGACUCUCACACUCUGCAGAGAAGUUGCGGCUUGUUUAGCAUUUGACCUACAUUCAGAAACGACCAGCCUCCCAACUUUCAGCUCUAAGGAUUACUUAAAAAAACAAAUGGUGUUCAUUCUCA